UACAGAGGUCUCAAGCGUUGUUCGGAUUUAUUGGGCGUAAAGAGCGUGUAGGCGGCCAGGUAGGUCUGCUGUGAAAACUCGAGGCUCAACCUCGAGACGUCGGCGGAAACCAUCUGGCUAGAGUCCGGGAGAGGAGAGUGGAAUUCCUGGUGUAGCGGUGAAAUGCGCAGAUAUCAGGAAGAACACCAAUGGCGAAGGCAGCUCUCUGGGACGGUACUGACGCUGAGACGCGAAAGCGUGGGGAGCGAACAGG
RNAcentral lists this ribosomal RNA (253 nucleotides) under uncultured bacterium. RNAcentral describes it as "partial 16S ribosomal RNA". It matches the Rfam family "Bacterial small subunit ribosomal RNA", at positions 524 to 776 of the family's 1533-position model. The record is from RNAcentral.